Molecule: ribosomal RNA, 492 nt
Filed under: uncultured bacterium
Lineage: Bacteria
Description: partial 16S ribosomal RNA
Rfam family: Bacterial small subunit ribosomal RNA
Source: RNAcentral
AGUGAACGCUGGCGGUAGGCCUAACACAUGCAAGUCGAACGGCAGCACAGUAAGAGCUUGCUCUUACGGGUGGCGAGUGGCGGACGGGUGAGGAAUACAUCGGAAUCUACUUUUUCGUGGGGGAUAACGUAGGGAAACUUACGCUAAUACCGCAUACGACCUACGGGUGAAAGCAGGGGAUCUUCGGACCUUGCGCGAUUGAAUGAGCCGAUGUCGGAUUAGCUAGUUGGCGGGGUAAAGGCCCACCAAGGCGACGAUCCGUAGCUGGUCUGAGAGGAUGAUCAGCCACACUGGAACUGAGACACGGUCCAGACUCCUACGGGAGGCAGCAGUGGGGAAUAUUGGACGAUGGGCACAAGCCUGCUCCAGCCAUACCGCGUGGGUGAAGAAGGCCUUCGGGUUGUAAAGCCCUUUUGUUGGGAAAGAAAAGCAGCAGGUUAAUACCCCGCUGUUCUGACGGUACCCAAAGAAUAAGCACCGGCUAACUUCGUG